Molecule: small RNA, 70 nt
Organism: Penicillium nordicum
Lineage: Eukaryota; Fungi; Ascomycota; Eurotiomycetes; Eurotiales; Aspergillaceae
Rfam family: bZIP non canonical Hac1/Xbp1 intron
About the family: bZIP intron RNA is a non-canonical intron that was first reported in HAC1 gene in yeast and XBP1 gene in Metazoa.
Source: Rfam
UGAGGCCUCCGACGCGACACAACAUCCUGCAGCGGUGUUGUGUGACCUGCAGUGUCCGUCGGUGGCCUCG